UGGGGAAUAUUGGACAAUGGGGGGAACCCUGAUCCAGCAAUGCCGCGUGUGUGAAGAAGGCCUGAGGGUUGUAAAGCACUUUCGUUGGGGAGGAGGGUUAAUUGGUUAAGAGCUGAUUGACUGGACGUUACCCAAAUAAGAAGCACCGGCUAACUCCGUGCCAGCAGCCGCGGUAAUACGGAGGGUGCGAGCGUUAAUCGGAAUUACUGGGCGUAAAGGGUGCGUAGGUUGUUUGAUAAGUUAUCUGUGAAAUACCUGAGCUUAACUUAGGGGAGUCAGAUAAGACUGUUGAGCUGGAGUAUGGGAGAGGGUAGUAGAAUUUCCGGUGUAGCGGUGAAAUGCGUAGAGAUCGGAAGGAAUACCGGUGGCGAAGGCGGCUACCUGGCCUGAUACUGACACU
Molecule: ribosomal RNA, 400 nt
Filed under: uncultured bacterium
Lineage: Bacteria
Description: bacterial SSU rRNA
Rfam family: Bacterial small subunit ribosomal RNA
Source: RNAcentral